RNAcentral lists this ribosomal RNA (425 nucleotides) under uncultured bacterium. Its description in RNAcentral is "bacterial SSU rRNA". It matches the Rfam family "Bacterial small subunit ribosomal RNA", at positions 378 to 810 of the family's 1533-position model. The record is from RNAcentral.
GCAGUCCGACCCAUCACGCCGCGUGCGGNGAUGAAGUGCCUUCGAGGUUGUAANACCGCUUUCAGCAGGGNAAGAAGCGAAAGUGACGGUACCUGCAAAAGAAGCACCGGCUAACUAUGUGCCAGCAGCCGCGGUAAUACAUAGGGUGCAAGCGUUGUCCGGAAUUAUUGGGCGUAAAGAGCUCGUAGGUUGUUCGUUACGUCGGAUGUGAAAAUCUGAGGCUUAACCUCAGACCUGCAUUCGAUACGGGCGAACUAGAGUGUGGUAGGGGAGACUGGAAUUCCUGGUGUAGCGGUGGAAUGCGCAGAUAUCAGGAGGAACACCAAUGGCGAAGGCAGGUCUCUGGGCCAUUACUGACACUGAGGAGCGAAAGUCUGGGGAGCGAACAGGAUUAGAUACCCUAGGUAGUCCAGACCGUAAACGGG